This is a non-coding RNA of Cricetulus griseus (Chinese hamster), 1269 nucleotides long. Lineage: Eukaryota; Metazoa; Chordata; Mammalia; Rodentia; Cricetidae. The record is from RefSeq and is a predicted model, not a curated record.
UCUAAGCUGGAAGAAGUAAAAGUGGGAGUGGAAAGAAAGAAACUUUUUUUUUCUCAGCAGAACUUUAUGACCUUUGAAUUAUGGACUUGUUGGAAUUAAUUUAGGGAUUAGGUUACAAUUUGCUUAUAGCCGAUUGUGGGAUAAACUCAUCUACUAAACCCCUUUAAACCUGAGUGACAUGUAUGUAGGACUGAACAGUUCUUCCAGACUCACUCUCCGAGGAUAGCAUUGUCGAUUGCUCCUUUGGCUCCCCCACGCCCCACCCCCACAUCUACUUUCAAACUCAUGGGCGGCUGUGAGGGUUGCACAUUUCCCUGUUCUGUGUCCCUAGGUGUACUGGGAUGGGCAGACUGGUGUGUCCAGGGAAAACUGCGUUCCAGUGAGUGCCAGGUCACACCCAGACUACAUCUUUCCAGCCUGGUGAAGCCAGAGGGAAGUAGAGAUAGGAACACGGAAUCCAAAGAGAAACUUUUGCCUUCGCCGGCAUCAUUUUCCUUAGAUAGGCAUUUGAGGAGUUCACCAUUUUUUUUUUCCUUCUAAUGAAAGAAGCCUGACCUGUUCCUCUCUCCUUCAUGACUCACACAUUCCUUCCUAUCUAGCUCCGGUUUCCCGACUUCUGCCCCAGUGGCUACUUUUUGCCUUUUUCUUCUUUAGCCCCUAUUACUCUUUGGUACCACAUCUUCAUCAGUGCCUCCUCAGUGCCAGACCCCAGGAGCGUUGGCGCCCUCUCCAACUUCCUGUUCAAGGAUGCACAUCUGUUCAGCGAGCGAGGAAAACCUCUGUCUUCUGAUUCUGUAGGAUGAUACGUUUGUGUUGCUGUUGAUAGGGACAGUGCAUUUCAUUUACCACACAUUGAAUUCCUGAAAGUCACAAUGCCAUGCUACAAUGCAAUGCAGUCUCAAUGUGCUCAGAGACCAGCCUGAAAAACAGAAGACAAUUCACAGAACACAAAGUUCCCAGUUGCAGAGGAAGUCACCUAAGAUGCCAGGGACAGACCAGUAUUAAUGAUCCCAGCAAAAUAUUUGCUGUGUGAACCUCAGACCUUGUACCUGAUUCUGUUUUGGACCUGGAUAGGAAAAAACUUAACAACUGAGAAAAAGCAGCCCUGGAAAUGUAAUACCGGGUUAGAUUUGAGGAUGGUCAACUGUCGUCCUCCAGGUCUUAUAUUUCACUCUGUCUUCUGUCACUGUAAAGACUGGGGAAAAAAGACAAGUUUGAUUUCCUCAAAGUCUAACCCAAACGUGCUUGAGUGAAAACAUCACAAACACU